GACGAACGCUGGCGGCGUGCUUAACACAUGCAAGUCGAGCGGUAAGGCCCUUUCGGGGGUACACGAGCGGCGAACGGGUGAGUAACACGUGGGUGACCUGCCCUCAGCUCUGGGAUAAGCCUGGGAAACCGGGUCUAAUACUGGAUAUGACUCCAUGACGCAUGUUGUGGGGUGGAAAGCCUUGGUGCGGCUGAGGAUGGGCCCGCGGCCUAUCAGCUUGUUGGUGGGGUGAGGCCUACCAAGGCGACGACGGGUAGCCGGCCUGAGAGGGCGACCGGCCACACUGGGACUGAGACACGGCCCAGACUCCUACGGGAGGCAGCAGUGGGGAAUCUUGCGCAAUGGGCGAAAGCCUGACGCAGCGACGCCGCGUGAGGGAUGACGGCCUGGUUGUAAC
RNAcentral lists this ribosomal RNA (397 nucleotides) under uncultured bacterium. RNAcentral's name for it is "bacterial SSU rRNA". It matches the Rfam family "Bacterial small subunit ribosomal RNA", at positions 28 to 429 of the family's 1533-position model. The record is from RNAcentral.